AUUGAACGCUGGCGGCAGGCCUAACACAUGCAAGUCGAACGGUAACAGGAAGCAGCUUGCUGCUUUGCUGACGAGUGGCGGACGGGUGAGUAAUGUCUGGGAAACUGCCUGAUGGAGGGGGAUAACUACUGGAAACGGUAGCUAAUACCGCAUAACGUCGCAAGACCAAAGAGGGGGACCUUCGGGCCUCUUGCCAUCAGAUGUGCCCAGAUGGGAUUAGCUAGUAGGUGGGGUAAAGGCUCACCUAGGCGACGAUCCCUAGCUGGUCUGAGAGGAUGACCCGCCACACUGGAACUGAGACACGGUCCAGACUCCUACGGGAGGCAGCAGUGGGGAAUAUUGCACAAUGGGCGCAAGCCUGAUGCAGCCAUGCCGCGUGUAUGAAGAAGGCCUUCGGGUUGUAAAGUACUUUCAGCGGGGAGGAAGGGAGUAAAGUUAAUACCUUUGCUCAUUGACGUUACCCGCAGAAGAAGCACCGGCUAACUCCGUGCCAGCCGCCGCAGUAA
RNAcentral lists this ribosomal RNA (506 nucleotides) under uncultured bacterium. RNAcentral describes it as "partial 16S ribosomal RNA". It matches the Rfam family "Bacterial small subunit ribosomal RNA", at positions 30 to 523 of the family's 1533-position model. The record is from RNAcentral.